RNAcentral lists this ribosomal RNA (492 nucleotides) under uncultured bacterium. RNAcentral describes it as "partial 16S ribosomal RNA". It matches the Rfam family "Bacterial small subunit ribosomal RNA", at positions 29 to 507 of the family's 1533-position model. The record is from RNAcentral.
AGUGAACGCUGGCGGUAGGCCUAACACAUGCAAGUCGAACGGCAGCACAGUAAGAGCUUGCUCUUACGGGUGGCGAGUGGCGGACGGGUGAGGAAUACAUCGGAAUCUACUUUUUCGUGGGGGAUAACGUAGGGAAACUUACGCUAAUACCGCAUACGACCUACGGGUGAAAGCAGGGGAUCUUCGGACCUUGCGCGAUUGAAUGAGCCGAUGUCGGAUUAGCUAGUUGGCGGGGUAAAGGCCCACCAAGGCGACGAUCCGUAGCUGGUCUGAGAGGAUGAUCAGCCACCCUGGAACUGAGACACGGUCCAGACUCCUACGGGAGGCAGCAGUGGGGAAUAUUUGACAAUUGGCGCAAGCCUGAUCCAGCCAUACCGCGUUGGUGAAGAAGGCCUUCGGGUUGUAAAGCCCUUUUUUUGGGAAAGAAAAGCAGCAGGUUAAUACCCCGCUGUUCUGACGGUACCCAAAGAAUAAGCACCGGCUAACUUCGUG